Molecule: RNase P RNA, 241 nt
Filed under: Salmonella enterica subsp. enterica serovar Newport str. A-211-RVH
Lineage: Bacteria; Pseudomonadati; Pseudomonadota; Gammaproteobacteria; Enterobacterales; Enterobacteriaceae
Description: partial RNase P RNA component class A
Rfam family: Bacterial RNase P class A
About the family: Ribonuclease P (RNase P) is a ubiquitous endoribonuclease, found in archaea, bacteria and eukarya as well as chloroplasts and mitochondria.
Source: RNAcentral
GAAACCCGCCGAUGGCCCACGCAAGUGGGAUCAGGUAAGGGUGAAAGGGUGCGGUAAGAGCGCACCGCGCGGCUGGUAACAGUCCGUGGCACGGUAAACUCCACCCGGAGCAAGGCCAAAUAGGGGUUCAUAAGGUACGGCCCGUACUGAACCCGGGUAGGCUGCUUGAGCCAGUGAGCGAUUGCUGGCCUAGAUGAAUGACUGUCCACGACAGAACCCGGCUUAUCGGUCAGUUUCACUU